AAGGCUCAGACAGCCAGGAUGUUGGCUUAGAAGCAGCCAUCAUUUAAAGAAAGCGUAAUAGCUCACUGGUCGAGUCGGCCUGCGCGGAAGAUGUAACGGGGCUAAGCUAUACACCGAAGCUGCGGCUACGUACUAUGUACGUGGGGUAGGGGAGCGUUCUGUAAGCCGUUGAAGGUGGUCUGUAAGGGCUGCUGGAGGUAUCAGAAGUGCGAAUGCUGACAUGAGUAACGAUAAAGGGAGUGAAAAACUCCCUCGCCGGAAGACCAAGGGUUCCUGUCCAACGUUAAUCGGGGCAGGGUAAGUCGACCCCCUAAGGCGAGGCCGAAAGGCGUAGUCGAUGGGAAACGGGUUAAUAUUCCCGUACUUCUUACAAUUGCGAUGGGGGGACGGAGAAGGCUAGGUGGGCCUGGCGACGGUUGUCCAGGUUCAAGUACGUAGGCGGAAG
Molecule: ribosomal RNA, 445 nt
Filed under: Vibrio chagasii
Lineage: Bacteria; Pseudomonadati; Pseudomonadota; Gammaproteobacteria; Vibrionales; Vibrionaceae
Description: bacterial LSU rRNA
Rfam family: Bacterial large subunit ribosomal RNA
Source: RNAcentral